AAAUUGACGGGGCCCGCACAAGCAGCGGAGCGUGUGGUUUAAUUCGAUGCAACACGAAGAACCUUACCAAGGCUUGACAUGCUGGAAGUAGGAUACCGAGAGGUGGACGACCUGUUGAGUCAGGAGCCAGCACAGGUGCUGCAUGGCUGUCGUCAGCUCGUGCCGUGAGGUGUUCGGUUAAGUCCUGCAACGAGCGCAACCCCUGUUGCCAGUUGUUUUCUCUGGCGAGACUGCCUCGCAAAACGGGGAGGAAGGUGGGGAUGACGUCAAGUCAGCACGGCCCUUAUGCCUUGGGCCACACACACGCUACAAUGGGUGGUACAGUGGGUUGCGACAGAGCGAUCUGAAGCCAAUCCCCAAAAGCCAUCCCCAGUACGGAUUGCAGGCUGAAACCCGCCUGCACGAAGUCGGAGUUGCUAGUAACCGCAGGUCAGCAUACUGCGGUGAAUACGUUCUCGGGCCUU
RNAcentral lists this ribosomal RNA (464 nucleotides) under uncultured Chloroflexota bacterium. RNAcentral's name for it is "bacterial SSU rRNA". It matches the Rfam family "Bacterial small subunit ribosomal RNA", at positions 908 to 1382 of the family's 1533-position model. Lineage: Bacteria; Bacillati; Chloroflexota. The record is from RNAcentral.